RNAcentral lists this ribosomal RNA (433 nucleotides) under uncultured Desulfobulbus sp. Its description in RNAcentral is "bacterial SSU rRNA". It matches the Rfam family "Bacterial small subunit ribosomal RNA", at positions 954 to 1382 of the family's 1533-position model. Lineage: Bacteria; Pseudomonadati; Thermodesulfobacteriota; Desulfobulbia; Desulfobulbales; Desulfobulbaceae. The record is from RNAcentral.
AUGCAACGCGAGAACCUACCUGGUCUUGACAUCCCGGAGACCCUUAGGAAACUAGGGGUUGGCUUCCAUCUGGAAGAAUCUGGAGACAGGUGCUGCAUGGCUGUCGUCAGCUCGUGUCGUGAGAUGUGGGUUAAGUCCCGCAACGAGCGCAACCCUUGCCUUUAGUUGCCAGCAGUUCGGCUGGGCACUCUAAAGGGACUGCCGGUGUUAAACCGGAGGAAGGUGGGGGAUGACGUCAAGUCCUCAUGGCCUUUAUGACCAGGGCUACACACGUACUACAAUGGCCGAUACAAAGGGCAGCGACACUGCGAGGUGAAGCCAAUCCCGUAAAAUCGGUCUCAGUCCGGAUUGGAGUCUGCAACUCGACUCCAUGAAGUUGGAAUCGCUAGUAAUCGUGGAUCAGCAUGCCACGGUGAAUACGUUCCCGGGCCUU